AAAACUACUCUCGGCAACGGAUAUCUCGGCUCUCGCAUCGAUGAAGAACGUAGCGAAAUGCGAUACUUGGUGUGAAUUGCAGAAUCCCGUGAACCAUCGAGUCUUUGAACGCAAGUUGCGCCCAAAACCUUCGGGUCGAGGGCACGUCUGCCUGGGUGUCACGC
Molecule: ribosomal RNA, 164 nt
Filed under: Phyllanthus fluitans
Lineage: Eukaryota; Viridiplantae; Streptophyta; Magnoliopsida; Malpighiales; Phyllanthaceae
Description: 5.8S ribosomal RNA
Rfam family: 5.8S ribosomal RNA
About the family: 5.8S ribosomal RNA (5.8S rRNA) is a component of the large subunit of the eukaryotic ribosome. It is transcribed by RNA polymerase I as part of the 45S precursor that also contains 18S and 28S rRNA. Functionally, it is thought that 5.8S rRNA may be involved in ribosome translocation.
Source: RNAcentral